Long non-coding RNA from Oryzias melastigma (Indian medaka), 552 nucleotides. RefSeq lists it as uncharacterized. The record is from RefSeq and is a predicted model, not a curated record. The transcript is spliced from 2 exons. Lineage: Eukaryota; Metazoa; Chordata; Actinopteri; Beloniformes; Adrianichthyidae.
GUCAGCGAGACGCGUGCGUCAAAAGUCCCGACGUGCGUCCUUCAGCGGACGAACUUGUCCAGGAGACCCUCAACGACAACCCCCCCGAAAAAAAUAAAUAAUACGACCGAGCUGAUGGAUGGCAGGAGAGUUGCGACAAACUCAUCCAGAGAGCCGACGAAAUCUGUUCUGGUCCACCUCUGUCCAGUGUUUGUCCAGCUGCAGAUUUAACAAUGAGAGCUGAGAGAGCAGCAUGCAGCAGUGGAGUAAGAAGUCUACCGGGAGGAUGUGAGAACCGUUUGAGUUUCUGGAGACUCGCAUCACCUUUCCCAGAAUUAUUUGGAGCUGCAGCCCGGCUGUGUGUGGCUUUUAAUCGGUGUGGUUUUUUAUCACCGUCGGACACUCGGGUGGGCUUUGACAUCACGCCACACACGCUCCAGGAGUUUAGGAGAUAAAGCUUCAACACACGUUUGCAGGAGUGUGGGGACAGAAUUGUUUCACCAAUUGAUGAAUCUUCUAACUUUUUGUUUUUUUUUUGGCAACUUUUGGGUCAAAUAAAACACUGAAACCCUG